AGGAAGGACGAUGCUGUGGCCUAGGCCUUA
RNAcentral lists this small RNA (30 nucleotides) under Bombyx mori (domestic silkworm). RNAcentral's name for it is "ovarian small RNA-12164". The record is from RNAcentral. Lineage: Eukaryota; Metazoa; Arthropoda; Insecta; Lepidoptera; Bombycidae.